Mus musculus (house mouse) is the source of this 223-nucleotide non-coding RNA. The record is from Rfam. NCBI's taxonomy places the organism in Eukaryota, Metazoa, Chordata, Mammalia, Rodentia, Muridae.
AAGACUACACUUCCAGGUACUGCUUCUACAGUUUGUUACUAGAUAAGUUUCUCUGACUCUAUAGAGCACCCAAGACCACAAGGAAGAAAUGAACCAUUCUUUCCUGACUGUGAAUCCAGCUCUAGGAGCUGCUCCCACUUCCCAGGGUUACAGAGCAACAGUAGUCAACUGCCAGUACCCACAUAGAGGUUCACAACCUUAGGUUCCAAAGGUUUCUGAGGGU